GACGUAGGGUCCAAGCGUUGUCCGGAUUUACUGGGCGUAAAGAGCGCGUAGGCGGUCUGUUAAGUGAGAAGUGAAAUCUCCAGGGCUCAACCCGGAAACGGCUUUUCAUACUGGCAGACUGGAGGGAUGCAGAGGUUUGUGGAAUUCCUGGUGUAGCGGUGAAAUGCGUUGAUAUCAGGAGGAACACCCAUGGCGAAGGCAGCAAACUGGUCAUCAACUGACGCUGAGGCGCGAAAGCGUGGGUAGCAAACAGG
Molecule: ribosomal RNA, 254 nt
Filed under: uncultured bacterium
Lineage: Bacteria
Description: partial 16S ribosomal RNA
Rfam family: Bacterial small subunit ribosomal RNA
Source: RNAcentral